GUGACAAGCUUGGGCUCUG
This 19-nucleotide microRNA is filed under the name Macaca mulatta (Rhesus monkey). Its description in RNAcentral is "mml-miR-7163-5p". The record is from miRBase by way of RNAcentral. Lineage: Eukaryota; Metazoa; Chordata; Mammalia; Primates; Cercopithecidae.